RNAcentral lists this ribosomal RNA (465 nucleotides) under Vreelandella stevensii. Its description in RNAcentral is "partial 16S ribosomal RNA". It matches the Rfam family "Bacterial small subunit ribosomal RNA", at positions 338 to 795 of the family's 1533-position model. The record is from RNAcentral. Lineage: Bacteria; Pseudomonadati; Pseudomonadota; Gammaproteobacteria; Oceanospirillales; Halomonadaceae.
CCUACGGGGGGCUGCAGUGGGGAAUAUUGGACAAUGGGGGGAACCCUGAUCCAGCCAUGCCGCGUGUGUGAAGAAGGCCCUCGGGUUGUAAAGCACUUUCAGUGAGGAAGAACGCCUGGUGGUUAAUACCCAUCAGGAAAGACAUCACUCACAGAAGAAGCACCGGCUAACUCCGUGCCAGCAGUCGCGGUAAUACGGAGGGUGCGAGCGUUAAUCGGAAUUACUGGGCGUAAAGCGCGCGUAGGUGGCUUGAUAAGCCGGUUGUGAAAGCCCCGGGCUCAACCUGGGAACGGCAUCCGGAACUGUCAAGCUAGAGUGCAGGAGAGGAAGGUAGAAUUCCCGGUGUAGCGGUGAAAUGCGUAGAGAUCGGGAGGAAUACCAGUGGCGAAGGCGGCCUUCUGGACUGACACUGACACUGAGGUGCGAAAGCGUGGGUAGCAAACAGGAUUAGAUACCCCAGUAGUC